This 1175-nucleotide ribosomal RNA is filed under the name uncultured organism. RNAcentral describes it as "bacterial SSU rRNA". It matches the Rfam family "Bacterial small subunit ribosomal RNA", at positions 95 to 1276 of the family's 1533-position model. The record is from RNAcentral.
GUGGCGCACGGGUGAGUAACACGUGAGCAACCUGCCGGGAAGCCCGGGAUAGCCCUCCGAAAGGAGGAUUAAUACCGGAUGUGGCCACCCUGCGACUGCGGGGGAAGCUAAAGGAUUUAUUCACUUCCCGAGGGGCUCGCGGCCCAUCAGCUUGUUGGUGAGGGUAACGGCCCACCAAGGCGACAACGGGUAGCUGGUCUGAGAGGAUGGUCAGCCACACUGGAACUGAGACACGGUCCAGACACCUACGGGUGGCAGCAGUCGAGAAUCAUUCGCAAUGGGGGAAACCCUGACGAUGCGACGCCGCGUGGAGGAUGAAGGCCUUAGGGUUGUAAACUCCUGUCAAGAGGGAAUAAGCAAGUGAAGGUACCUCUAGAGGAAGGGGCGGCUAAUUCCGUGCCAGCAGCCGCGGUAACACGGAAGCCCCGAGCGUUGUUCGGAUUCAUUGGGCGUAAAGGGUGCGUAGGCGGCGCGGAAAGUCCGGCGUGAAAGGCAGGGGCUCAACCUCUGGACUGCGUUGGAUACUUCCGUGCUUGGGGACUGGAGGGGAGACUGGAAUUCACGGUGUAGCAGUGAAAUGCGUAGAUAUCGUGAGGAAGACCGGUGGCGAAGGCGAGUCUCUGGACAGAUCCUGACGCUGAGGCACGAAGGCUGGGGGAGCGAACAGGAUUAGAUACCCUGGUAGUCCCAGCAGUAAACGAUGUGAGCUUGAUGUGGGGGGAUUCGACCCCUUCCGUGUCGAAGCUAACGCGAUAAGCUCACCGCCUGAGGAGUACGGCCGCAAGGCUAAAACUCAUAGAAAUAGACGGGGACCCGCACAAGCGGUGGAGUAUGUGGCUUAAUUCGAUGCAACGCGAAGAACCUUACCUGGCCUUGACAUGCAUUGUGUCGUCGGUGAAAGCCGGCUAGUCCUGGAAACAGGACUCUUUGCACAGUUGUCGCAUGGCAGUGGUCAGCUCGUGUCGUGAGAUGUUGGGUUAAGUCCCGCAUCGAGCGCAACCCUUGUGGUCAGUUACUAACCGGCUUAGCCGGAGGACUCUGGCCAGUCUGCCCUGUCAACCGGGGAGGAAGGUGGGGAGGACGUCAAGUCAGUAUGGCCCUUAUGGCCAGGGCUGCACACGUACUACAAUGCCCGGUACAAUGUGAACCGAAACCGCGAGGUGGAGGAAAUCGCU